Transfer RNA from Halorientalis sp. IM1011, 112 nucleotides. It matches the Rfam family "tRNA". From Rfam's summary of the family: Transfer RNA (tRNA) molecules are approximately 80 nucleotides in length. Their secondary structure includes four short double-helical elements and three loops (D, anti-codon, and T loops). Further hydrogen bonds mediate the characteristic L-shaped molecular structure. tRNAs have two regions of fundamental functional importance: the anti-codon, which is responsible for specific mRNA codon recognition, and the 3' end, to which the tRNAs corresponding amino acid is attached (by aminoacyl-tRNA synthetases). tRNAs cope with the degeneracy of the genetic code in two manners: having more than one tRNA (with a specific anti-codon) for a particular amino acid; and 'wobble' base-pairing, i.e. permitting non-standard base-pairing at the 3rd anti-codon position. The record is from Rfam. NCBI's taxonomy places the organism in Archaea, Methanobacteriati, Methanobacteriota, Halobacteria, Halobacteriales, Haloarculaceae.
GGGCCGGUAGCUCAGUUAGGCAGAGCGUCUGGCUUUUAACGAGUCCGCGCGUUCGAUUCGGGCGGGUUCGGAAGUGACCAGAUGGUCGGGGGUUCAACUCCCUCCCGGCCCG